CAGCGCGUGGCCUAGUGGUGAACGUGCUUGAUUUCUAAUUUUGAGUCCCGGGUUCGAACCCCAGUGGGGUCA
Molecule: non-coding RNA, 72 nt
Organism: Caenorhabditis brenneri
Lineage: Eukaryota; Metazoa; Nematoda; Chromadorea; Rhabditida; Rhabditidae
Source: the annotation of a GenBank genome assembly